Molecule: long non-coding RNA, 517 nt
Filed under: Homo sapiens (human)
Lineage: Eukaryota; Metazoa; Chordata; Mammalia; Primates; Hominidae
Description: novel transcript
Source: RNAcentral
ACGACGUGUCAGCCCCACCACGGCCCCAUAAAUGUAGCAUGAGUGCGAGCUUGAAAUUUGUAACAUGAGAUGAAAACUGGAGAAGCAUCCCUAAAAUAUAUGAACCAAUCUGCCUAGAAAUAGCUAGGAAUCUGCCACCAGAAAGAUGAAUAAAAUAAAAGAUUGAAGAAGUAGCAAGUAGCAGUAUGGAAGACUUGUGGCUAAGGAACCCCGCCUUUUUGUGUAACAGUUGGCCAUAAAGAAAUUAAGACCUUCAUUCCAGAGAGUCCUAUUGCAUGCCUGAGAGGGAGGAAGGCUGCACAGAGACGCCAAGAAGCUGGACAGUCCUUGCUGGGUUUCCCCACUCAGUCUUUAAGCAUUCGAUCAUACCCCUUCUGUCCAGUUGUAUUUUACAUGGCUGUCCAUACAUCAUUGAAUGUCAGUGUAAAAAUGGAUUGUUUUCCCUGUAUCUUUGGGUCUUUAUUCUGAAGUCUCUUUUAAAACUAUGAUCAAAUAAAUUUGUAUGCCUUUUCUCCUA